GUUUCAGGGCGAGGUGAAAGUCCUCACCGGCGGUGAUGAGCCAGCGCUCAAAGUCCGCGAACCCUGCUUAUAAAGCGGGGCUGAACGGGUGAGAAUCCCGUACCGACGGUUACAGUCCGGAUGGAAGAAA
RNAcentral lists this non-coding RNA (130 nucleotides) under chicken gut metagenome. RNAcentral describes it as "FMN riboswitch (RFN element)". It matches the Rfam family "FMN riboswitch aptamer (RFN element)". Rfam says of the family: The RFN element is a highly conserved domain that is found frequently in the 5'-untranslated regions of prokaryotic mRNAs that encode for flavin mononucleotide (FMN) biosynthesis and transport proteins. This element is a metabolite-dependent riboswitch that directly binds FMN in the absence of proteins. The record is from RNAcentral.